Long non-coding RNA from Oryza brachyantha (malo sina), 600 nucleotides. RefSeq lists it as uncharacterized. The record is from RefSeq and is a predicted model, not a curated record. The transcript has 3 exons. NCBI's taxonomy places the organism in Eukaryota, Viridiplantae, Streptophyta, Magnoliopsida, Poales, Poaceae.
UUGAAAUGACACAUCAACAAAGGGGAGAUAAACAAUUACCAAUGUUGUCAGAUCCAUAAAUCCAGAUUCAUCCCAGAGCCUUUGCCGGCUUCUUUACUCCAUCUGAUUGUGAAGACGAGCUCACCAGAAGCGAAUGAGAUCGCCACCCAACAACAACAGCCAAGAUCGGUGAUUGUUAGGAAAUAUGUGAUUUGUUAGGGAUCAAGAGGACGCAUGAUUUAACAUGAAAAAACUCUUCUAAGGUUGAGAGGAAAAACCACGGGAGAUAAAUUCACUAAUAUCGUACAGAGUUACAGCCCUCAUGGAGCUCCUCUCAAAAAACUGGAGUUUUGACAACAGCGAGACGCUCAGAUGCCAUGCCCCUCAACAUCUAGUCUGACCCCCAGUGAUAUAUAUUGAAAAUGGACGGCUUAGCCGUGUUCAUUUUAUAUAUGAACACCAUGGUAUUUCGUGAUGCUCCAGACCCGAUGAUACAGGCGUCCCAGGAAGCAGACACCAGUUUUUGAAAUCUGAAGAUUUUGUUUGAAUUAUUUGAAUAUGAACAAAGAGGUAUGUGCCAAACGGUUCAUAUUGAAAUGGACUGACAAAUUAUGAAGAUCA